GACGAACGCUGGCGGCGUGCUUAACACAUGCAAGUCGAACGAAAAGAGGGAAAGAGCUUGCUCUUUCCGGAAUUGAGUGGCAAACGGGUGAGUAACACGUAAACAACCUGCCUUCAGGAUGGGGACAACAGACGGAAACGACUGCUAAUACCGAAUAAGUUCCAAGGGCCGCAUGGCCCAUGGAAGAAAAGGUGGCCUCUACCUGUAAGCUAUCGCCUGAAGAGGGGUUUGCGUCUGAUUAGCUGGUUGGAGGGGUAACGGCCCACCAAGGCGACGAUCAGUAGCCGGUCUGAGAGGAUGAACGGCCAAACUGGAACGGAGACACGGUCCAGACUCCUACGGGAGGCAGCAGUGGGGAAUCUUCCGCAAUGGGCGAAAGCCUGACGGAGCAACGCCGCGUGAGUGAUGACGGCCUUCGGGUUGUAAAACUCUGUGAUCCGGGACGAAAAGGCAGAGUGCGAAGAACAAACUGCAUUGACGGUACCGGAAAAGCAAGCCACGGCUAACUACGUG
RNAcentral lists this ribosomal RNA (513 nucleotides) under uncultured bacterium. RNAcentral describes it as "partial 16S ribosomal RNA". It matches the Rfam family "Bacterial small subunit ribosomal RNA", at positions 28 to 507 of the family's 1533-position model. The record is from RNAcentral.